This 31-nucleotide small RNA is filed under the name Bombyx mori (domestic silkworm). RNAcentral describes it as "ovarian small RNA-28293". The record is from RNAcentral. Lineage: Eukaryota; Metazoa; Arthropoda; Insecta; Lepidoptera; Bombycidae.
UCGACCGACACGAAUCUUAAGCCGCGGGCGC